This 253-nucleotide ribosomal RNA is filed under the name uncultured bacterium. Its description in RNAcentral is "partial 16S ribosomal RNA". It matches the Rfam family "Bacterial small subunit ribosomal RNA", at positions 524 to 776 of the family's 1533-position model. The record is from RNAcentral.
GACGAACCGUGCGAACGUUGUUCGGAAUCACUGGGCUUAAAGGGCGCGUAGGCGGGCGGGCAAGCCCGGGGUGAAAUCUUUCGGCUCAACCGGAAAAGUGCCUCGGGGACUGCUUGUCUGGAGUGAGGUAGGGGCCGCGGGAACUUCCGGUGGAGCGGUGAAAUGCGUUGAUAUCGGAAGGAACGCCGGUGGCGAAAGCGCGCGGCUGGCCCUCAACUGACGCUGAGGCGCGAAAGCUAGGGGAGCGAACGGG